This 253-nucleotide ribosomal RNA is filed under the name uncultured bacterium. Its description in RNAcentral is "partial 16S ribosomal RNA". It matches the Rfam family "Bacterial small subunit ribosomal RNA", at positions 524 to 776 of the family's 1533-position model. The record is from RNAcentral.
UACGUAGGUGGCAAGCGUUGUCCGGAUUUACUGGGCGUAAAGCGCGCGCAGGCGGUUCGCUAAGUCCGGGGUGAAAGCCCCCGGCUCACCUGGGGGAGGGCUUUGGAGACUGGCGGACUGGAGGCAGGCAGAGGUCGGUGGAAUUCCCGGUGUAGUGGUGAAAUGCGUAGAGAUCGGGAGGAACACCCGUGGCGAAGGCGGCCGGCUGGGCCUGUUCUGACGCUGAGGCGCGAAAGCGUGGGGAGCGAACCGG